Non-coding RNA from Equus caballus (horse), 98 nucleotides. The record is from Rfam. NCBI's taxonomy places the organism in Eukaryota, Metazoa, Chordata, Mammalia, Perissodactyla, Equidae.
UGGGUGGACGUGUUCCAUGGCUUUCAGAAUAAGAUCCUUUGUGUGCACUCAAUCCAUUAAAUCCACAAUUGCCUUCAUCUUGUGGCUGAUCCUUCUGG